UUGCAUCGAUGAAGAACGCAGCGAAAGGCGAUAGGUAAUGUGAAUUGCAGAAUUCCGUGAAUCAUCGAAUCUUUGAACGCACCUUGCGCUCCAUGGCAUUCCGUGGAGCAUGCCUGUUUGAGUGCCGCGAAAUCUCCCACCCCUAGCGGUUACCGCAAGGCGCCGCCGGGCGGCGGGGUUGGUUGGGUGCCGCUGCCUGGGCUUUGGCCCAGGCUCGCCCGAAAUGCAUGAGCGCUUAGCACUCGCACCGUCUCGAGGGAAGGCGGCGGAGCUGGCAUCUGCGCAUGGCAUGAUACGUCAUUUGCUGUGUGGCAGCCCAGCGACCCGAGAGUGUGUGUGCGCUACUACACGCCCUUUCAGGGCUGGUCUCAAAUCAGGUAGGAUCACCC
Molecule: ribosomal RNA, 389 nt
Filed under: uncultured Malassezia
Lineage: Eukaryota; Fungi; Basidiomycota; Malasseziomycetes; Malasseziales; Malasseziaceae
Description: eukaryotic LSU rRNA
Rfam family: 5.8S ribosomal RNA (bases 1-127)
Source: RNAcentral